RNAcentral lists this long non-coding RNA (1060 nucleotides) under Callithrix jacchus (white-tufted-ear marmoset). Its description in RNAcentral is "lncRNA (ENSCJAG00000055730.2)". The record is from RNAcentral. Lineage: Eukaryota; Metazoa; Chordata; Mammalia; Primates; Cebidae.
GCUUUUCCUUAGAACCACUGCAGGGGUGAAAGACAGAACAUAGAAUUGUCACAUCGUUUCACAGAAGAGCCAUCUCCUAGUUAUCUUUUUGGUUACCUUUAAUAACCAAACAACCAAACCAAGAAUUUGGCAGAUAUUUUCACUAACUCUGAUUUCCUGGGGCCUGACUGGCUAAUGUAUGCAUUGACUCAUGAAAUAAAACAGAGCUUUUCAUCAGAAAGAAGAAGGGGCCAGGUGUGCUAGCUCAUUCCGGUAAUCCCAGCAUUUUGGGAGGCUAAGGCAGGAGGAUCACUUGAGACCAGGAGUUCAAGACCAGCCUGGGCAAAAUGGCAAGACCUCCUCUCUAAAAAGAUAUUUUUUAGAAAAUUAGCCAGAUAUGGGGGUUUAUGUUUGUAGUCUCAGCUACUCAGGAGGCUGAGGUGGGAGGAUCAUUUGAGCUCAGGAGUUUAAGGCUGCAGUGAACUAUGAUUACCCCCUCUGCACUCCAGCCUGGGUGACAAAGUGAGACCACAUUUCUAAGAAAAAAAGAAAAAAAGAAUUGAAGUUAAAAAUUUUAAAUCUUGAAGAAAGGAAAACACUAUAUUCUUCCUCCUGAUUUUUGACUCUUAACUAAAACUAAUCAUCAUCUCCCCACUUUUACUGUACGGAGGACUCUCCAAAUGGGUUAUAAUAUUGCCCUUUGCCCUAUCUUCCCUCUUUUCUACCCCUGUUACUUUCUGUGUCCAGCUUGGGACUGUCAAUUACAGAAAACAAGGGAAUACUGACACAUUAAAUCUUGAACACACCUCCCCCUUAGUAAAGCCCUUCUAUAAGAUGAAGUCUCACUCUCGCCCAGGCUGAAGUGCAGUAGCACCACCUUGGCUCACUGUAACCUCCACCCCCUGGAUUCAAGUGAUUCUUCUGCCUCAGUCUCCUGACUAGCUGGGACUACAAGCAUGUGCCGCCACACCUGGCUCAUUUUUGUAAUUUUAGUAGAGAUAGGGUUUCACUAUGUUGGCUAGGUUGGUCUUGAACUCCUGACCUCAAGUGAUCCACCUACUUUGGCCUCCCAAAGUGCUGG